CUUUGUUUUUCUCUGUUUUGUUUUCUGUUAUUCUAA
Molecule: small RNA, 36 nt
Filed under: Arabidopsis thaliana (thale cress)
Lineage: Eukaryota; Viridiplantae; Streptophyta; Magnoliopsida; Brassicales; Brassicaceae
Description: ATSL275990
Source: RNAcentral